GUGGGGAAUAACUUCGGGAAACCGAGGCUAAUACCGCAUAAUACCCACGGGUCAAAGGAGCAAUUCGCUUGAGGAGGAGGUCGCGGCCGAUUAGUUAGUUGCGGGGUAAUGGCCCCACCAAGACGGUGAUCGGUAUCCGGCCUGAGAGGGCGCACGGACACACUGGAACUGAAACACGGUCCAGACUCCUACGGGAGGCAGCAGUGGGGAAUUUUGCGCAAUGGGGGAAACCCUGACGCAGCAACGCCGCGUGGAGGAUGAAGUCUCUUGGGACGUAAACUCCUUUCGAUCGGGACGAUUAUGACGGUACCGGAAGAAGAAGCCCCGGCUAACUUCGUG
This 339-nucleotide ribosomal RNA is filed under the name uncultured bacterium. RNAcentral describes it as "bacterial SSU rRNA". It matches the Rfam family "Bacterial small subunit ribosomal RNA", at positions 136 to 507 of the family's 1533-position model. The record is from RNAcentral.